RNAcentral lists this long non-coding RNA (1524 nucleotides) under Lupinus mutabilis. RNAcentral describes it as "partial ncRNA". Lineage: Eukaryota; Viridiplantae; Streptophyta; Magnoliopsida; Fabales; Fabaceae. The record is from RNAcentral.
UGAGAACGGAGCGCAAAGGGGGAUGCCUAGCUUCGAUUAUCAGUUACCCAUUUCAAGUCUUUGGUAUAUUUCCUUUGUGCUGAAUUUUUGUUGUGAAUGUUGGUUUUGGACUUUUUGUUCAUAGUUUUAGUUAUUUAUCGUGUUUCUUAGCGCAGUGGUGCAAGCGGACUUUCUUUCCUUUUUAUAUUGAGAUGUUUCUUAGCUCUUUAAUGUUACAUUAGGAUGGUAUAAGGAAUAUGUAGAGCACUGACUUUCAUUGUUUCUUAGCUCUUUCCUUUUUAUGGUUUGCUUGAAUGAAACUAUAUAAACCAGUGAUGAGAAAAGUGACUUAUAACCUUCUAAUUGAAGAUAAGUAUCUCUAUUCUUCCCUGUGAAUGUGGGUUUCAAUUCAAGGUUCUCGAGGCUAUGCCUAAAGAUAAUUUCAACAAUCUGCCCUAGGUUUAAAGUGAUAGCUUUCUGCUUCAGAUGUGUAGGUUGAACCAUGCCGAAUGUUCCAUUUCCAAUUUCUGUUAUGGGUAUAAUAAGUUCAUUAUUUAACAUCAGUAUAUUAGUUUUGAUAGACUAAAUGUACUGCGUCAUGAGACAAACUUAUCUACCCUUUGUUUAUUUUUUGAUAAGAAUCUACACUUUGUUUAUCUUUAUAAGUAGUCCAGCAUUGUCCCCUUUUAUGAAAUUAGUAGUAGAUAGCUUAUAAAUCUAGAUAGGCCUUUGAUGGCGCAAGAUGAGUUUUAUUAGAAGCAGUACAGAAAUGCUUGAAGCCUUCACGGUUUUUUUCCAAAUGGUGCACCAUUUAGUAGCUUAAAGUACCGAUGAUAUGACCAAACUUCUCAUUGACGACUACUUUGUCAAAUAUCCUAACAAUACCUUAUGUGUUUCUAGAGUAUCCGUCAUUUCCCCUUUUACUUAGUAGUCUAGUAUUACCACCAAAGAUGUAUAAUCUUUUACUCCAAAUCCUUCUUCUUUCUCAUGUGUCAAUGUCUUCCCUUGGGUGGAUGGAUAAGCUUUGCACUUCAAAGUGUUCCUUUCUAGGUUAGACUUUAUCGUGUUGAAAGUUCUAUAUGAUAUUAUAAGAAAGUUUGUCCUAAUGUAGCACUUGAUUGAAAUGAAGUAUCUUUGAAUAAACUAUUUCACAUACAGAAGAGAGUGUUUUGUUUUGAGGAGUAGGUGAAUCAAACCAUGAUAUAAUAGGGUGGAGAGCAACAAAAAUUAGUAGAACUUACACAACUAUUUUUUGUAAAUGCAUUUGCACUAGUUGUUGCUUAGUGACCAUGAGGACACGAAUUCAAAUCCUGUAAAUAGCCUCUCCACUUGUGGAGGUAAGGCUACAUAUAUCUAUCAUUCCCAGACCCCACUAAGUGGGAACUUCGUGCAUUGAGUUGGCUUUUUUUCUUUCACUUUAAGAAGUUCGGAACUAGUUUACAAUUUAACAUAAUGAAGGAUGUUUAGUGAACUUAAGAUAAUAGCUAGCAUAAUCAAUUUGCACUGCAACUCUAAGGAGCCCACUUGAAAUAAGAUUAAAAAUAC